Molecule: unclassified non-coding RNA, 378 nt
Filed under: uncultured bacterium
Lineage: Bacteria
Description: contains 16S-23S intergenic spacer region
Source: RNAcentral
UCCGGUUUGUCACCGGCAGUCACCUUAGAGUGCCCAACUAAAUGCUGGCAACUAAGAUCAAGGGUUGCGCUCGUUGCGGGACUUAACCCAACAUCUCACGACACGAGCUGACGACAACCAUGCACCACCUGUCACCGCUGUCCCCGAAGGGCUGCCGUAUUUCUACGACAUUCCUGCACAUGUCAAGCCCUGGUAAGGUUCUUCGCGUCGCGUCGAAUUAAACCACAUGCUCCGCUGCUUGUGCGGGCCCCCGUCAAUUCCUUUGAGUUUUAGCCUUGCGGCCGUACUCCCCAGGCGGGGUGCUUAAUGCGUUAGCGUCGGCACAGGGGGAGUCGACACCCCCUACACCUAGUACCCAUCGUUUACGGCGUGGACUAC